This 904-nucleotide long non-coding RNA is filed under the name Calidris pugnax (ruff). RNAcentral's name for it is "lncRNA (ENSCPUG00000011198.1)". Lineage: Eukaryota; Metazoa; Chordata; Aves; Charadriiformes; Scolopacidae. The record is from RNAcentral.
AUAAAAAAAUAUAUUGUUGAUAAUUUGUUUUUCUUUGCAAGCGCUCAAUUACUGGUUUCUUUCCUCCUGCUCCUGGUAAUGUUUUAAUAACCGUGUAUGUUUUCCACCACAGCACACAGUGCUGAUGAGUGCCGAGGCCGUGCUCCCUCCCAAUUUCCAUCUCUUAAUUAAAGGAAAGGAAAAGGAAAGCAGCGCCAAACAUCGUCAGGGAACGUAUCAAUUCAUAACAGCUGUGGGUGGUUAUUUCUGUCCGCGGCUUCAAUAGUUUAAUUGGAGAAGCAUGGUAAAAGAGCGCUCUUCCCUUUGGCUUUGAGGAGCGUUUCAGGGAUUUUUCUCCUGAAUCCAAAUGAAGCCAGACCUGAAGCUGCCAGUGAGCUGGCAGAGGCAGCCCCAGCAGCCUGGAUUUGCAGUAGGAGGGAUGGCAAAACUGGGGUGCAGCCAGGCCGUACACCCUGCAUGUCCAGGACCCUUGCUGUGUCCCGUGGUGGCAACACCUCCUGGGACUUCAUUGCUGAGCUGUCAUCUGCAUCCAGGGAAGAGGGAUGAAAGGAGAUCACCUAACGCAAAGGAAGGGAGCAGGGAAGAGCAUUUCUAGACUUCUUCUCCUCCAACCAUGGAGAUGCAGUCUCAGUUCUCCAGCUGUCACUGGUUAAUCAUCACCUUCCCAAGAGCAGAGGGGGAACGAGGAUCUGACUCAUGACUCAGAGCCUGGACUCCUCCAAGGGGAACGCUGCCCGUUCCUUAGGGCUGGUAAGUCCAAAGGCAUGAAAAUAGCAGGGUUUUAGGGACAGACCUUCAAAAGAAGUUUCCUCAGAUAUUACCUUGAGCCGUUUCCAUGUGUGUUCUUGCCAACAAACUCUUGUUAGAAUAUUUGUGGAAAAUAAACUCCGGAGAGCCAUGAGCA